RNAcentral lists this long non-coding RNA (363 nucleotides) under Marmota monax (woodchuck). The record is from RNAcentral. Lineage: Eukaryota; Metazoa; Chordata; Mammalia; Rodentia; Sciuridae.
AACAAGCUGGCAACAGAAUUGGUGGAACUCCGUAAGCUGAAGCUUGCUGAACUAAAGCAAGAAUGUCUUGCUCCUGGUUUGGGACGAAGGGAAUAAAACAAUCAUAUCAACAGGUUCCAGACAUAUGGUAAAGAUCAUGCCCAAGAGGAGGUGAAAGAAAAAGAUACACUGGAAGAUAAAACAGAGGAAGAAGAACCAAAACCCAUGGAACUGUUGGCAAAGAGAAAGGACUCCCUAAAAAAAUUGUUGAUGUGGCAGAAGAGAAGAAGAUGCUAAAAAUUACAUCUGAAAUACCACAGAGAGAGAAUGAAGAAGAGGGCUGAAGGAUUCAAUGUACCUGUGAGAUUGGAGAGUGGGAGAGCU